GUCCAGGGAUGGGAAUCGAACCCACAAUGUUCCGCUUACCGGGCAGAUGAUAUGUCCACUAGGCUACCCUGGA
Molecule: transfer RNA, 73 nt
Filed under: Cordylochernes scorpioides
Lineage: Eukaryota; Metazoa; Arthropoda; Arachnida; Pseudoscorpiones; Chernetidae
Description: tRNA-Thr
Source: RNAcentral